UGGGGAGAGGAACUUGUUCCUCGAGUCGUUGAUUUCACACUGCCGAGAAAAGCCUCUAGCUAGAAUAACGGUGCCCGUACCGCAAACCGACACAGGUAGUCAAGAUGAGAAUUCUAAGGUGAGCGAGCGAACUCUCGUUAAGGAACUCGGCAAAAUGACCCCGUAACUUCGGGAGAAGGGGUGCUCUUUGAGGUUCACGCUUCGAAGAGCCGCAGUGAAUAGGCCCAAGCGACUGUUUAUCAAAAACACAGGUCUCUGCUAAACCGUAAGGUGACGUAUAGGGGCUGACGCCUGCCCGGUGCUGGAAGGUUAAGAGGAGUGGUUAGCGCAAGCGAAGCUACGAAUCGAAGCCCCAGUAAACGGCGGCCGUAACUAUAACGGUCCUAAGGUAGCGAAAUUCCUUGUCGGGUAAGUUCCGACCCGCACGAAAGGCGUAACGAUUUGGGCACUGUCUCAACGAGAGACUCGGUGAAAUCAUAGUACCGGUGAAGAUGCCGGUUACCCGCGACAGGACGGAAAGACCCCGUGGAGCUUUACUGUAGCCUGAUAUUGAAAUUCGGUACAGUUUGUACAGGAUAGGUAGGAGCCUUAGAAGCGUGAGCGCUAGCUUACGUGGAGGCAUUGGUGGGAUACUACCCUAAUUGUAUUGGAUUUCUAACCCGCAGCACUUAUCGUGCUGGGAGACAGUGUCAGGCGGGCAGUUUGACUGGGGCGGUCGCCUCCUAAAGAGUAACGGAGGCGCUCAAAGGUUCCCUCAGAAUGGUUGGAAAUCAUUCAUAGAGUGUAAAGGCAUAAGGGAGCUUGACUGCGAGACCUACAAGUCGAGCAGGGUCGAAAGACGGACUUAGUGAUCCGGUGGUUCCGCAUGGAAGGGCCAUCGCUCAACGGAUAAAAGCUACCCCGGGGAUAACAGGCUUAUCUCCCCCAAGAGUUCACAUCGACGGGGAGGUUUGGCACCUCGAUGUCGGCUCAUCGCAUCCUGGGGCUGUAGUCGGUCCCAAGGGUUGGGCUGUUCGCCCAUUAAAGCGGUACGCGAGCUGGGUUCAGAACGUCGUGAGACAGUUCGGUCCCUAUCCGUCGUGGGCGUAGGAAAUUUGAGAGGAGCUGUCCUUAGUACGAGAGGACCGGGAUGGACAUACCUCUGGUGUACCAGUUGUCGUGCCAACGGCAUAGCUGGGUAGCUAUGUAUGGACGGGAUAAGUGCUGAAAGCAUCUAAGCAUGAAGCCCCCCUCGAGAUGAGAUUUCCCAACUUCGGUUAUAAGAUCCCUCAAAGAUGAUGAGGUGAAU
RNAcentral lists this ribosomal RNA (1288 nucleotides) under Staphylococcus pseudintermedius. Its description in RNAcentral is "partial 23S ribosomal RNA". It matches the Rfam family "Bacterial large subunit ribosomal RNA", at positions 1566 to 2857 of the family's 2925-position model. Lineage: Bacteria; Bacillati; Bacillota; Bacilli; Caryophanales; Staphylococcaceae. The record is from RNAcentral.